UUUGAUGUAUGUAAAAUAAGUUUGAAUGUAAUAUUACUAUUGUAUUAUUCAGCUUAUAGAAAUGGUAUCGUGAAGCACUGAGUUCGGGUUUCAAGUACCCGGAUUUGGGGGCGUCACAGGUUGGUAUCAAAGCCAUAAGCAUGAAUUUGCAAAGAGCCCCGAGCCUUUAUCUGGUGACAUCCCUUUAAGGGAAGGCACCGAAGCCAGACUUUCUGUAGGGGACGCCGAGCGAGUCGGUGGCAAGUUGAUAGGUACCCUUGUGAGGUGCUAUGGUUGGAAGCACCAUGAGCGUCACAGGUUGGUAUCAAAGCUGUAGGUUAUAAACGUUAGGAAUGCGAAACCUAGGUUAUAACCUUUGUAGAAUGGAGGACGAAAGUUAAGAUAAAUAUUUAGUAAACCAGGAGACGAAGUACUCUGGUGAGAAGUUAUAGGAUAUGCUGAGUUGAAGAGAUUCAUCGAGUUUUAGUGGUACUAAAUAAAAUAUUACUUCAUUUUAAUGAUGAAUAUAUUUUAUUUCAGUAAUGAUGUUGUCUUGUUUAUUGUGGUCAUAGGAUGGAUGACGAAAGUUAAAAUAGUAAUUCCUUGACCCAAGAGACGAUGGACUCUAGCGAGGAGUACACAGACAGUGAGAUGAUAAGAGAUUUGAUAGUUAGGAACGACGACUUAAAGGUUAGAGCUGAGCAAGCGGAGGCACAUAAUCGUACUCUCAAGAUUUCAGAACAACAGUACAAGGACGCUGCUCACCGAACACAUAUAGAAUUAGCCGAGUUACGAGGGAGGUUGGAGAGAGAGAGAUACAGAUAGGACAGUUGAAGGUUGAGAUAGAAGCCAAAGACACCAAGAUAUAUACCUUGGAACAGGCUAUAGACAUCGCCUUUAUGCGAUUCGAUGCGAAGUGGAUGGAGCUGCCUUUCGGCAGAGAGAGAUAGACGUUGAUGAGAAUUGAAUAAAUUUAUCGUCAAACAAAAUAAGAGACAACAUAUAUAAAACUCUUGAUUGCUAUGCAUAUAUACUAUAUGCUAAUCAGGGUAACUUAUGUAUGUAGAUGUCGGGUGAGAAAGAUAUGUGGAAUAAGAAGGAUCAGGUCCAUACCCCCGAGCUAAUAUCAAGGCCAACAGCUGAAAUAGAAGCUUACCAGGAACCCAAAUCGGACGAGGUGGCUAUAGUGGAAAACGUAGUAUCAGAUCCAGAAAUGGUGGAUUUGACAGAUAGUGAUUCAGACACUAAAGUUGAAGCUGCUCAAGCAUCAACGGAGGUGCAGGAUCUGGAGAACAAGGUUGCUACGCUGGAAAGGCUGUGGGAGAUAGAGACGUUGCUUAAUAUCCAACUGCGUCAAGCAUUGCUAGAAACAAUGAAAGAGCAGGAUAAGCUCAAAAUCCAAAUUGACCAGAUGGGAGCCUCAAG
RNAcentral lists this long non-coding RNA (1404 nucleotides) under Panax ginseng (ginseng). RNAcentral describes it as "long non-coding RNA (PGIN_LNC000578)". Lineage: Eukaryota; Viridiplantae; Streptophyta; Magnoliopsida; Apiales; Araliaceae. The record is from RNAcentral.